Molecule: transfer RNA, 78 nt
Filed under: Pseudoalteromonas xiamenensis
Lineage: Bacteria; Pseudomonadati; Pseudomonadota; Gammaproteobacteria; Alteromonadales; Pseudoalteromonadaceae
Description: tRNA-Met
Rfam family: tRNA
About the family: Transfer RNA (tRNA) molecules are approximately 80 nucleotides in length. Their secondary structure includes four short double-helical elements and three loops (D, anti-codon, and T loops).
Source: RNAcentral
CGCGGGAUGGAGCAGCCUGGUAGCUCGUCGAGACUCAUAACCCGAAGGUCGUCGGUUCAAAUCCGGCUCCCGCAACCA